Molecule: small RNA, 669 nt
Filed under: Pan troglodytes (chimpanzee)
Lineage: Eukaryota; Metazoa; Chordata; Mammalia; Primates; Hominidae
Description: processed transcript
Source: RNAcentral
AACAGCCGGGGCUCCAGCGGGAGAACGAUAAUGCAAAGUGCUAUGUUCUUGGCUGUUCAACACGACUGCAGACCCAUGGACAAGAGCGCAGGCAGCGGCCACAAGAGCGAGGAGAAGCGGGAAAAGAUGAAACGGACCCUUUUAAAAGAUUGGAAGACCCGUUUGAGCUACUUCUUGCAAAAUUCCUCUACUCCUGGGAAGCCCAAAACCGGCAAAAAAAGCAAACAGCAAGCUUUCAUCAAGUAAGUUGAGAAUCCUGUGCUUGCAAAUAUCAAUAGUUAGCUGCUGAACUGAAAAGGGGAACUCUGAUGUGCGUAAGCUAACAUACAGAACCUCUCUUGCAGGCCUUCUCCUGAGGAAGCACAGCUGUGGUCAGAAGCAUUUGACGAGCUGCUAGCCAGCAAAUAUGGUCUUGCUGCAUUCAGGGCUUUUUUAAAGUCGGAAUUCUGUGAAGAAAAUAUUGAAUUCUGGCUGGCCUGUGAAGACUUCAAAAAAACCAAAUCACCCCAAAAGCUGUCCUCAAAAGCAAGGAAAAUAUAUACUGACUUCAUAGAAAAGGAAGCUCCAAAAGAGGUAAGGAAACAAGUUCCUAAUUUCAGCACAAUCUGGACAUCUUUAGCACAAAAGUGAAACAAAAUAAUCAAGGACAAAGCAGGGCUAGAAGGAGGG